Sebastes umbrosus (honeycomb rockfish) is the source of this 295-nucleotide long non-coding RNA. RefSeq lists it as uncharacterized. The record is from RefSeq and is a predicted model, not a curated record. The transcript has 2 exons. NCBI's taxonomy places the organism in Eukaryota, Metazoa, Chordata, Actinopteri, Perciformes, Sebastidae.
ACAAUAAGUCACAAUAUUUUACAUUUGACACCCACCCAACCUAAUUCAAUCUGUAGUGAGAAAAGUUUAAAAAGAACUCUAUAUCUGUAGUCCAACAUAUUCAGAUUACUAGGUGCUGCUCUACUGUCAGGAGUGGCUGGCCUGGCCUUGAGGCAGCAGGAAUGAGAUUCUAAGCCUAUCUUUAAGUAAGGACCGUCAUCAUGGGCAAUGAAGGUUGCUGGUGUACCAGAAAGAACACUGGGAAUCCGAGCUCAGUGAGUUUAACCAAGACGUGCAAUAAGGAAGCAGAGUGGUG